AUUAAUAAUAGCUGCUCUUUUGGGGAACUUGCUCUGAACCAGGCACUCGGCCAAGCUCUUUGCUUAUUCGGGGUUUUUUCAUUUCAUCCUCCCCACAACCCCACGAAGCAGGCACUGUUAUUAUCCCCGAUUUGCCCAUGACCCCAGAGCGAGGAAGUGGUGAGGCUAAGAUCUGAACCUGGGCGGUGAGAUUUCGGAACCUGCUUUGGUAAAAUUCUGAUUAAGGAAAUCACAUUGCUGCCCCAGGGUGAAAUCUAAUCUCAGACAUUGAUCGAAUGGCUUUCCUUCAAAGUUACACACGGAGCUGGGAUAUGUGAGAGGCCCUGCCAGGAAAUAACUAAGCCCAACACUACCUAGGAGGAGACUGUGGCGCAGGUUUGGGGAUCCAGCUUUGGCUCUUACAUUCAGUGUUUUUUCCUACUGUUUUACGAUAUUCCCGGGAGGAGCCCAAGACACGGGGAUUGCCAGGCAAACCAAAUUGCUCUGGGCAUCUGGAAAAAUAGAGACAUGUAAUUGGAAGAAGGAGAAUGGGGGAGAAAUGCCAAGUGACAAGCUGAGGACAUAUUGGGUGAGAAGUGAUGAGGGAGGGACAGGGCCAGAAGGAAGAGGGAUGCGAAUGAAUGCAGUCUGGGCUGUUGCUCACUGUGAGCAUCGAAUGCCGUGUUAAUGCCCUUCCGAAGGGAGACACCGCGUGCAGAAUAAAGACAGGAGCCAAGGUGGCACUUUGCAAAUAUAUGAAGCAUCUGCUUCCCUGUUGAAUGGAGAUGAGUAUGAUCGUCAUUCUUAGGCAAGUGUCCUGCAAGGGAACUGGUGUCUCCAUGGCAAGAAGAGGCCAACGAAGGACGGAAGUCCCAGGAGAGUAUCACGCACUGUGUCCUCUCCCACACAUCCUUGUCCAGGGUUGCUCGAAAGCAUCGGAGCUGACAGCCUGAGCCUCACCUCACUGUCCGCUAGGUGACCUGCCAAGCAGCGACAGGAAGGAGGGAAGAAGCAAAUGGUGAACGUAAUUUACAACCUAGGUCAUCAGUACCUCUACUAACAACGUGCACGUAGGUGGGCCACGUCUCGAACAUCUUCCUCUGCAAAGUGAUCUCGUUUUAGGAAAAGAAAACAAUAGCAACAAAACACCACCACAGCAUCAUGGAAUUUCAGAGCUGCCGUAAGCAUGAGAGGUCAUGCUAGAGUCUGGAAUCUAGACUCCUGUUACUUGAAGUAUGAUCCGUGGACAGCAUCAGCAGCCUACCUGAGAGCUUGUUAGAAAUGCAGAAUCCGGGGCGCCUGGGUGGCGCAGUCGGUUAAGCGUCCGACUUCAGCCAGGUCACGAUCUCGCGGUCCGGGAGUUCGAGCCCCGCGUCGGGCUCUGGGCUGAUGGCUCAGAGCCUGGAGCCUGUUUCCGAUUCUGUGUCUCCCUCUCUCUCUGCCCCUCCCCCCGUUCAUGCUCUGUCUCUCUCUGUCCCAAAAAUAAAUAAAUGUUAAAAAAAAAAUUAAAAAAAAAA
Molecule: long non-coding RNA, 1496 nt
Filed under: Felis catus (domestic cat)
Lineage: Eukaryota; Metazoa; Chordata; Mammalia; Carnivora; Felidae
Description: lncRNA (ENSFCAG00000048157.1)
Source: RNAcentral